Molecule: ribosomal RNA, 1559 nt
Filed under: uncultured prokaryote
Description: partial 16S ribosomal RNA
Rfam family: Bacterial small subunit ribosomal RNA
Source: RNAcentral
AGAGUUUGAUCCUGGCUCAGAGCGAACGCUGGCGGCGUGCUUAAUACAUGCAAGUCGAACGAGAAAGUGGCUUCGGCCAUGAGUAAAGUGGCAGACGGGUGAGUAAUACUUAGGUAACCUGCCCUUAAGAUGGGGACAACCUUCCGAAAGGAGGGCUAAUACCGAAUGAGACCACAGUGUCUGCGGACACGGGGGUUAAAGAUGGCCUCUAUUUAUAAGCUAUCACUUAAGGAUGGGCCUAAGCACCAUUAGCUUGUUGGUAAGAUAACGGCUUACCAAUGCUACGAUGGUUAGCUGAUCUGAGAGGUUGAUCAGCCACACUGGAACUGAGACACGGUCCAGACUCCUACGGGAGGCAGCAGUAGGGAAUAUUGCGCAAUGGGGGAAACCCUGACGCAGCGACGCCGCGUGGGUGAUGAAGGCUUUCGGGUCGUAAAGCCCUGUCGAGUGGGACGAAAGACGGUAUGGCUAAUAUCCAUACCGAGUGACGGUACCACUAAAGGAAGCACCGGCUAACUACGUGCCAGCAGCCGCGGUAAAUACGUAGGGUGCAAGCGUUGCUCGGAAUCAUUGGGCGUAAAGAGCGUGUAGGUGGCUAGAUAAGUCGGAUGUGAAAUCCCUCGGCUCAACCGAGGAAAGUGCAUUCGAAACUAUCUAGCUUGAGGAUGGCAGAGGAAGGUGGAUUCCUAUUGUAAGGUGAAAUUCGUAAUUUAGGAGGAAUACCGGGUGGCGAAGGCGGGCCUUCUGGACCCAAUUUCCCUGACAAUGAAGACGCGGAAAGGCGUGGGUUAGCAAACAGGGAAUUUAGAUUACCCUGGUAGUCCACCGCUUGUAAACGAUGGGUACUAGAUGUUGUGGGAAUUGACCCCCGCAAGUGUCGUAGCUAACGCGUUAAGUACCCCGCCUGGGGAGUACGACCGCAAGGUUGAAACUCAAAGGAAUUGACGGGGGCCCGCACAAGCGGGGGAGCAUGUGGUUUAAUUCGACGCAACGCGAAGAACCUUACCUGGGCUUGACAUCCCUGGAACUCCCUAGAAGUACCGCUUCCCCUUCGGGGGCAAGGAGACAGGUGCUGCAUGGCUGUCGUCAGCUCGUGUCGUGAGAUGUUGGGUUAAGUCCCGCAACGAGCGCAACCCUUGCCCUUAGUUGCCAGCAUUCAGUUGGGCACUCUAUGGAGACUGCCGGUGUUAAACCGGAGGAAGGUGGGGAUGACGUCAAGUCCUCAUGGCCCUUAUGUCCAGGGCUACACACGUGCUACAAUGGCCGGUACAGAGGGUCGCCAACCCGCGAGGGGGAGCCAAUCCCCUAAAGCCGGUCUCAGUACGAAUUGGAGUCUGCAACUCGACUCCAUGAAGCUGGAAUCGCUAGUAAUCGCAAAUCAGCAGGUUGCGGUGAAUACGUUCCCGGGCCUUGUACACACCGCCCGUCACACCACGAAAGUCGAUUGUACCAGAAGUCACUGGGCUAACCCUAAGGAGGCAGGCGCCCAAGGUGCGAUCGAUGAUUGGGGUGAAGUCGUACAAGGUAGCCGUAGGGGAACCUGCGGCUGGAUCACCUCC